Molecule: ribosomal RNA, 587 nt
Filed under: Dialister pneumosintes
Lineage: Bacteria; Bacillati; Bacillota; Negativicutes; Veillonellales; Veillonellaceae
Description: bacterial SSU rRNA
Rfam family: Bacterial small subunit ribosomal RNA
Source: RNAcentral
UCUGACGGAGCAACGCCGCGUGAACGAAGAAGGUCUUCGGAUUGUAAAGUUCUGUGAUUCGGGACGAAAGGGUUUGUGGUGAAUAAUCAUAGACAUUGACGGUACCGAAAAAGCAAGCCACGGCUAACUACGUGCCAGCAGCCGCGGUAAUACGUAGGUGGCAAGCGUUGUCCGGAAUUAUUGGGCGUAAAGCGCGCGCAGGCGGUUUCUUAAGUCCAUCUUAAAAGCGUGGGGCUCAACCCCAUGAGGGGAUGGAAACUGGGAAGCUGGAGUAUCGGAGAGGAAAGUGGAAUUCCUAGUGUAGCGGUGAAGUGCGUAGAGAUUAGGAAGAACACCGGUGGCGAAGGCGACUUUCUAGACGAAAACUGACGCUGAGGCGCGAAAGCGUGGGGAGCAAACAGGAUUAGAUACCCUGGUAGUCCACGCCGUAAACGAUGGAUACUAGGUGUAGGAGGUAUCGACCCUCCUGUGCCGGAGUUACGCAUAGUAUCCCGCCUGGAGUAGAUCGCAGAUUAAACUCAAAGGAAUUGACGGGGCCCGCACAAGCGGUGGAGUAUGUGGUUUAAUUCGACGCAACGCGAGAACCU